AAGACAAACUAGAUAAGAUGCAGAUUGGAUCAGGCGAAGAUGUGAAUGACCUCAACUAUGAUUAUGACAAUGAACAGUGCGUAGCACGUGGUGGAAAUUAAUAGAUGGAAUGGUGGACAACGGAAGGGCUAACGAUGCAGCGGCGGCGUGACUAAUGUGAAAAGAACUCGAAACUCUAAACGAACUAGACACUAAGACCAGCAACUGACACGACGAUGCAACCGAUAAUUCAACUAUGCAAGCAACGAAUAGAAAAUUGCAAAGGCUUAGACUGGCUUGGAUAAAGGAUGAACAGAUCUAACUUUUUUUGUGGCUUUUUCAUGAACUAUAGGUAUGAAUGACAGAUGCGAUCUAAACUAUGAAAAACUGUAAAAUCUCACCGAGCAACUUGAAAACUGAUACCACUUGAUAGAGGCGAGGGUGUCCCGAUCUUUCGAUGAGAUGAUAACUAUCGAUUUGGUGGAGACGACUUUGAUGAUCCGACUACAAACGUGCACGACGUUGCGCCUUAGCAAUCGCUAAACCAAUCUCCUGAGGUUACUGAUGAUGCCGGAAGCACGGUCAGCCUGACCACGAAGGUCUAUUCCUGCAAGCAACUGAAGAACGAGCAAGAAUAUGAUAAAGCAAUCUGAAUAUUGCAAAUAUAUAUGAGGUAUUGAUAAUGGUGGGGAUCCGUAAGCGGUCUUGGUCUGGUCGUUGGACACAAACGAAGUACACGAAGUUGCAAUGGCUAACUUUUAACUAAACAAAUCCCAAGGAAAAGCUACUAGAUGGAUCUACUUAUAUAGGAGCAAGGGGUGGCGGCCAAGGAGGUGGGAGGACGUCCCAAGGCAGCCUAAAACUAAAUCUAGGUCGUACAAGGCCAAUGGGCCCAAGUGGAGGUGAUGUAACACCUUUGGACUUGUAGUUUGACUCGGAUUCUGCUGCAGCAUCAGAUUGUUUCGUCCACAACUCAACGCUCCGGACGAAUUUGAAGGUGAUUCCAAUUGGGUUGGAAAGUGCACGAAAUGUAAUUUCCAACAAAAAAAGAAUCACCCAAUUCGGAGUCCGUAUGAAAAACUUGUGUGUGUUUUGAGUCAGGUGUGUCUGUGCAGUCCGAAUCUGAAUCCAGAACGUGAGAGACUUGGACUCUAUCUUCUCUUGGGCCAAAAGUGACGUGAGAGAACUUUUUGGACAGCAAAUAAACAUCUCUUUCUUCCUUAUCUUCAUAUGUGGAUUGUACAAAUGUCCCAUACACCUGCAAUUAGACAAAACACAAAAGUGUGUGAAGUAUUUUUGUUCUGGAUAACAUAAAUAGAUUAUUGAAUAGUUUGCACUAGAAAUCACCUGACAAAUAUGCAUAUAUGCAAUAUUUUUUGUCAUAUCCAAGGUAGUCAUGUCCUCAUCACAGUAACAAGAGUCUCUAAAAUAGGUGGUGUGCUCAAAUCAACAGGUAACUCAACACAUGAUGCAUUCAAGUUAACUAGGCAUGCUUCAUUCUCAUGUGAAGUUAUAUCAUCAAGACCUUUACUGUUACCUCGCAGAGAUGUAGCUGAUGUAGAUACGGACGUUGACAAUGUACCAUACUCUUGAGAUGAUAUCGCGCUCACAAUCCGAGGUGGGGCUGCUCUAGUAGGUGCAAUAGUGGAGUAACCAACCGGCGGUGGUGAGCAUGAACUGGAAUAGUAGUUGUUGUAGUCACCCAAUGCAUCCUCCUGUAUUUGUCUCUCAAAGGUACAAGCACGGACAUACAUACCAGUAAUGCAAUGAGGAAUAUACUGAAAUCUUGCCUGAAUAUCAUGGUUCAAACCACCAAAAAAUCUAUUCAUUGUAUCAUCCUUAGAUUCUUCUAUGUCACAAUGAUGCAUAUAAGAUUUGAACUCUUGGUAGUAAGCAUGAACAGUGUUACUGCCUUGUUUUAAUUGCUCCAAUUUGCGAUGCAAUUCACGAUGAUAGUAAGGAGGAAAAAAUUGUUGUCUCAUUACAGCUUUCAAAACUUUCCAAGUUGUGGGUUGGUUAUCAAUGUUUUUCUUACAAUGUACACUCCACCAAACAGAAGCAAAACCAGUAAAUGCUCUAAUGGUAGCUCGUACUCUCUCAAGUUCAGAAAAAUCAUGGUGACUGAAAACUUGUUCUACUUCAAGCUCCCAAGCUAGAUAAAUAGCAGGAUUAAAUCUACCCUCAAAUGAUGGUAAAGAGAUAACCUGACCAUAUGCUUGUGUGUGUUGUCCCAACUCUCGUGAUGGUGAAGAUGUGUCCGUCAUCCAAGAACUUCUAUCUCUGGAACCUGUCAUGAUUAGUAGAAACAAGAACCAAAAUUCGAGAAUAAUGUUCCUAUGAACUACUAGGAUGUGGUUGUAAAGUGCUCACAGUAAAGCAAAUAUCAAUAUCUUACAAGUUCUUACCAUGUGGCAGGUGGUGACAGGCAACCAGCGGUGUCAAAUAACUCCAAAGAUUGUGUAAAACGAUUGCCAGGGGAACGUACGUAUACACGGUGUAGAAAUAUGUGGAGCUGGGUUGGCUAUAUAUGGUAGCAAAAGAUUAGCAAUAAUCAAUUCAAAGAUGCAAUGUUGAAUAAACGCUCAACGACGGUACUGUGCUGGUCCUAGGCUAGACCGUACUAGAGACGCGAGCCUAGAACACUAAUGAGGUCACGGCGUAGCACAACUAGCAUCAAUGAAUGAUACUAAGUAGCUCUUGACAGCAAGAUAUAAGUGAAGAUCACAACGGCAGUGAAGAUAAUGAUGAAAAACAACUGCCAAACAGGAUAUACAACAACUCUCUCUCCAACUUUCCUCUUGAAAAGUUUGAGUCAAUUUUCUGAUAAAUUCUUUCAAAGAAUGCUACUAACUCAAGCUUUCCAAUGCAAAAAGAAUCACUCAAUUCCGAGUUGAUAUGAGGAGUCAAAGAAUUCUAAAACUGGCCUGAGAAAUUGGAACAACCUGUGUUCAUGAACUUCGGAGGGCAAAAAGACCUAUUUAGAAGCCGAUUUUGAGGUGUCAAACAUUGAACAAGCUUCUGCAACUAUUUAGAUGCGGCUCAUCGCUAGCUUCAAUUUGAGUACUCACGGAGCCAAAACGGACUUCGUAUGAGGAAGAUACACCUGUUUUACUGAACAGUGCGCAAAACAGAUUUCAAUCCGAAUUCAGGUACGAGAUUGAUUCUAGAUAGAUCCAAUUUUUUUUCUUCUCUCUUUUUUUUCUCACGCUUUUUUUUUCUUUUUCUUCUCUCUCUUUUUCUUUUUUUUCCUUUUUUCUCUUUUUUUUCUCUAUCUUUUUUUUCCAAGACAAACUAGAUAAGAUGCAGAUUGGAUCAAGCGAAGAUGUGAAUGACCUCAACUAUGAUUAUGACAAUGAACAGUGCGUAGCAUAUGGUGGAAAUUAAUAGAUGGGAUGGUGGACAACGGAAGGGAUAAUGAUGCAGCGGCGGCGUGACUAAUGUGAACAGAACUCGAAACUCUAAAGGAACUAGACGCUAAGACCAGCAACUGACACGACGAUGCAACCGAUAAUUCAACUAUGCAAGCAAUGAAUAGAAAA
Molecule: long non-coding RNA, 3518 nt
Filed under: Triticum aestivum (bread wheat)
Lineage: Eukaryota; Viridiplantae; Streptophyta; Magnoliopsida; Poales; Poaceae
Description: long non-coding RNA (TAES_LNC025612)
Source: RNAcentral